RNAcentral lists this ribosomal RNA (245 nucleotides) under uncultured bacterium. RNAcentral describes it as "partial 16S ribosomal RNA". It matches the Rfam family "Bacterial small subunit ribosomal RNA", at positions 524 to 768 of the family's 1533-position model. The record is from RNAcentral.
UACAGAGGUGGCAAGCGUUGUUCGGAAUCACUGGGCUUAAAGGGCGCGUAGGCGGGCGAUAGGGUGUCCUGUGAAAGACCCCGGCUUAACCGGGGAACGGCAGGGCAAACCGAUCGUCUUGAGGCAGGUAGGGGCCGGUGGAACUCUGGGUGGAGCGGUGAAAUGCGUAGAUAUCCAGGGGAACGCCAAUGGUGAAGACAGCCGGCUGGGCCUGACCUGACGCUGAGGCGCGAAAGCCAGGGGAG